CCAAAGGCCCUUCUCAGGGCCGCCCAAAUUCUCUGUAAAAAGAGUU
Molecule: non-coding RNA, 46 nt
Organism: Rattus norvegicus (Norway rat)
Lineage: Eukaryota; Metazoa; Chordata; Mammalia; Rodentia; Muridae
Source: Rfam